Molecule: small nuclear RNA, 104 nt
Filed under: Meriones unguiculatus (Mongolian gerbil)
Lineage: Eukaryota; Metazoa; Chordata; Mammalia; Rodentia; Muridae
Source: RNAcentral
GUGCUCUCUUCAACAGCACAUAUACUAAAAUUGAAACAAUACCUAGAAGUUCAUGACCCCCGUGUAAGUAUGAUAUGAAUAUCCAUGAAGCAUUCAUAUUUUAG